GGCGCCCUGCGGUGUUCGUGACGUCCGACCUAAGCCAAGCGCCAAGAAUAGCUUAGAGGGAGCCGGGGUCUGCAGGUGGCAGGCGCCGCCCGUGCGGUGGCACCGGAAGCCUGUGGCCAGGCACCCACCUGCUCGCCAGGGCGGCGAGCUUAGGGGCGCACGGCACCCGCGGGGCGGCU
This 179-nucleotide non-coding RNA is filed under the name Armatimonadota bacterium. Its description in RNAcentral is "Armatimonadetes bacterium (hot springs metagenome) 6S RNA". It matches the Rfam family "6S / SsrS RNA". Rfam says of the family: E. coli 6S RNA was the first non coding RNA to be sequenced, but its function was unknown until recently. It consists of 184 nucleotides that fold into an extended hairpin structure with a large single-stranded internal bulge. Lineage: Bacteria; Bacillati; Armatimonadota. The record is from RNAcentral.